CCUACGGGUGGCAGCAGUGAGGAAUAUUGGUCAAUGGGCGCGAGCCUGAACCAGCCAAGUAGCGUGAAGGAUGACUGCCCUACGGGUUGUAAACUUCUUUUAUAAAGGAAUAACGUGAGGCCCGUGUGCCUUUUUGUAUGUACUUUAUGAAUAAGGAUCGGCUAAAUCCGUUCCCGCUGCCGCGGUAAUUCGGGGGAUUCGCGCGUUAUCCGGAUUUCUUGGGUUUAAAGGGAUCGGAGGUGGAUGGUUAAGUUCGUUGGGAAAGUUUGGGGGUCAAACGUAAAAGUGCAGUUGAAACUGGCAGUCUUGAGUACAGUAGAGGUGUGCGGAAUGCGUGGUGUAGCGGUGAAAUGCUUAGAUAUCACGAAGAACUCCGAUUGCGAAGGCAGUUCACUGGACUGCAACUGACACUGAGGCUCGAAAGUGUGGGUAUCAAACAGGAUUAGAAACCCUUGUAGUC
This 460-nucleotide ribosomal RNA is filed under the name uncultured bacterium. RNAcentral's name for it is "partial 16S ribosomal RNA". It matches the Rfam family "Bacterial small subunit ribosomal RNA", at positions 338 to 795 of the family's 1533-position model. The record is from RNAcentral.